Molecule: ribosomal RNA, 461 nt
Filed under: uncultured Propionibacteriales bacterium
Lineage: Bacteria; Bacillati; Actinomycetota; Actinomycetes; Propionibacteriales
Description: bacterial SSU rRNA
Rfam family: Bacterial small subunit ribosomal RNA
Source: RNAcentral
AGAGUUUGAUCCUGGCUCAGGACGAACGCUGGCGGCGUGCUUAACACAUGCAAGUCGAACGGUGACGGAGAGCUUGCUCUCCUGAUCUGUGGCGAACGGGUGAGUAACACGUGAGCAACCUACCCUUGACUCUGGGAUAACAGUUGGAAACAGCUGCUAAUACCGGAUACGACCCCAGCAGGCAUCUGCCGGGGUGGAAAGCUCCGACGGUCAAGGAUGGGCUCGCGGCCUAUCAGCUAGUUGGUGAGGUAACGGCUCACCAAGGCGUCGACGGGUAGCCGGCCUGAGAGGGCGACCGGCCACACUGGGACUGAGAUACGGCCCAGACUCCUACGGGAGGCAGCAGUGGGGAAUAUUGCGCAAUGGGCGAAAGCCUGACGCAGCAACGCCGCGUGCGGGAUGACGGCCUUCGGGUUGUAAGCCGCUUUCAGCAGGGACGAAGGGUCACCUGACGGUACCGC